AGGGGGUCUGAGAGGAUAGUCCCCCACACUGGUACUGAGACACGGACCAGACUCCUACGGGAGGCAGCAGUGAGGAAUAUUGGUCAAUGGGCGAAAGCCUGAACCAGCCAUGUCGCGUGCAGGAUGACGGCCCUAUGGGUUGUAAACUGCUUUUUUACAGGAAUAAUUGCAGAUACGUGUAUUUGUUUGAAUGUACUGUAUGAAUAAGGAUCGGCUAACUCCGUGCCAGCAGCCGCGGUAAUACGGAGGAUUCGAGCGUUAUCCGGAUUUAUUGGGUUUAAAGGGUCCGUAGGCGGUUCUUUAAGUCAGUGGUGAAAUCCCAGAGCUCAACUCUGGAACUGCCAUUGAAACUGAAGAACUUGAAUAUGGUUGAGGUAGGCGGAAUACGUUAUGUAGCGGUGAAAUGCAUAGAUAUAACGUAGAACACCAAUUGCGAAGGCAGCUUACUAAGCCAUUAUUGACGCUGAUGGACGAAAGCGUGGGGAGCGAACAGGAUUAGAUACCCUGGUAGUCCACGCCGUAAACGAUGAUUACUCGUUGUGCACAAUACACCGUGCGUGACGAGCGAAAGCAUUAAGUAAUCCACCUGGGGAGUACGUUCGCAAGAAUGAAACUCAAAGGAAUUGACGGGGGCCCGCACAAGCGGAGGAACAUGUGGUUUAAUUCGAUGAUACGCGAGGAACCUUACCUGGACUUAAAUGUAGAUUGACUGGCUUGGAAACAGGUCUUCUCUUCGGAGCAAUUUACAAGGUGCUGCAUGGUUGUCGUCAGCUCGUGCCGUGAGGUGUCGGGUUAAGUCCCAUAACGAGCGCAACCCCUAUCGUUAGUUGCUAGCAGGUAAUGCUGAGGACUCUAAUGAGACUGCCACCGUAAGGUGAGAGGAAGGUGGGGAUGACGUCAAAUCAGCACGGCCCUUACGUCCAGGGCUACACACGUGUUACAAUGGCCAGUACAAAGGGCAGCUACCUGGUGACAGGAUGCUAAUCUCAAAAGCUGGUCUCAGUUCGGAUCGGAGUCUGCAACUCGACUCCGUGAAGUUGGAUUCGCUAGUAAUCGUAUAUCAGCAAUGAUACGGUGAAUACGUUCCCGGGCCUUGUACACACCGCCCGUCAAGCCAUGGAAGCCGAGGGUGCCUGAAGUACGUUACCGCAAGGAGCGUCCUAGGGUAAAAUUGGUAACUGGGGCUAAGUCGUAACAAGGUA
This 1202-nucleotide ribosomal RNA is filed under the name metagenome. RNAcentral's name for it is "bacterial SSU rRNA". It matches the Rfam family "Bacterial small subunit ribosomal RNA", at positions 285 to 1498 of the family's 1533-position model. The record is from RNAcentral.